Molecule: long non-coding RNA, 1726 nt
Organism: Oxyura jamaicensis (ruddy duck)
Lineage: Eukaryota; Metazoa; Chordata; Aves; Anseriformes; Anatidae
Exons: 5
Source: RefSeq, a predicted model, not a curated record
AUGUGUUGUCAAAGGACAUGUUCUGUGUUCAAAAAGCCAGGCACUGAAGGAGCAGCAGUACCACGUUUGGGUGAUUAUGGCCACUGAUGGAUGUGGACAGACUUUGUUGUAGUUUUGUUACAGCUGCAAACAAUGCAUGACAAAUUACAGAUCUUGCUAGGAAAACAUAUAGGUAGCUUCUCUUGAUGAUGUAUUGUAUCAUCACAAAUGUUAAGCUGAAUUUAGCUCAUCUUGAAUCUAAUACUCUUGGUUGUAUGCAAUCUGUUCGGUGUUACUUCCAUUGAGUCCAAGGAUAUUUAGAUUCAGCUCUCAGCCUCUGCACUCCACUGGGAGCUGAGAAGUUUGGUCCAGAUAAAAUGAGUGGUGUAUCUGAUUUUGGUGACCAAGGUGGCUCAUGACAGAGUGACCCAAAUAUCAAGGGUGACAGAAAGAGAUAGGAAUAGCUCCAUUCUACUGGCAAGUUUAGCUAAUUGGUUAUACACAUAUGUUACUGAUAUAUAGAUAGCCUGGAGAAAAUAAAUUGCAAAAAUGCAAGACCAAUUCAAAUGAAUUUGGACAGUAGUUAAAUCAUGUAAUUAAUUUGGCUGAGGUUUAGGAGAGAGACAGCUUUCAGAAGAAAUCUGAAGGAGAUGGAGGAGAAAUGCCUACUGAAAGUUGUGCCAUUUGUUAGGGACAGCCUGAAGAUGUUGACUCUUCUGCCUUCUCUGCAGGAGUCUUCUGUGCAGUGAUGCUCACCGCAGCUGUGUCUGAUUUCCUGAAUGGUGUGCAAGUUCCCACGUCUAAGCACACGGGAGGAAAUAAAUGAGUUACUGAAGAUGUCCAUGACAUGAAACCUGGCCAUGUAAGAUCCAGUUUUUCCUCAGCAAAUUGCAACAGAAGCCUGAACAGAAAAAUGGACUCUGCAGUGAGGUUCAGUGGGUCUGUCCUGAUUCCAGUGUGCCCAGUGUCACUCCUUACCUGGUGCAUGAGUUGCUAAGGACCUGUUUCCUGAAAUGCUCUGUAAUGGAAGAGAUUAUCAAGUAGUAAUGUCUAUUUUUUUUUUUUACUACAGUUUUUCUUAUGAUAGUGAACAUUAUUAUGGUACUUCUUUGCUCCCGUGAUAAUGCCAGCAUAGACUGCUGUGUGUUAUUGUACACUAUAAAUCACUUUUCCAAUAAAGAAAACUUUGCAAUUGGAAAUAUCAGGGAAAAAAUACAAGAAGAUACACUUCAUAGUUGUUCUUAAGACUAUUGUCACCCUAUCCCGUGCAUUGAAAUUGCAUGCAAUGUGUUCAAAACUGAGGACCAAGGGUUAGUUUUGGAUGCCACAUUGCUUCACGGUCUAGAGAUUAUCCAUACUGCUGUGAUUUUUCAAAACCUAUGAUAAUAACUCUUUAGCUGAUGUAAUCAGCUGAACUUGGGCAAUUUACUCAAUUUCAAGAUUUUUGCUACAAUUCAAAUUGUUAAAUUCACCUGGGCAGUAGAUCGGUUUUUCUCUUGCUGUCUUUCUUACACUCUUUUGUUAAGACAAAUUCUCUCACAAUGCUAAACAGUUCAGCUUUAUGCACAUCAGUUCAUUCUCCAAGCUAACUCUUCCAGGAUAGCAAGCAAACAGCUUAAAAAUCUAGAAGUUGCUUUUGUUCCUCCAAAAUAAACUUUUUUUUUUUUUUUUUUUUUUUUUUUUUUUUUCUGUUUAUUCUAGUGUGAGUAUUCAACUGAAGGAAGAAUGCCCCAAGUAAGUCAGAAUC